Malania oleifera is the source of this 108-nucleotide small nucleolar RNA. The record is from RefSeq and is a predicted model, not a curated record. NCBI's taxonomy places the organism in Eukaryota, Viridiplantae, Streptophyta, Magnoliopsida, Santalales, Ximeniaceae.
AAUCCGUGAUGUGGACAUAUGUUCAUCAGGUCCUUAAAUCUCUCCCAACAAGCUUGGAAGGUCUCAUCAACUCCUUGCAUGAAUCUUCUGAUCUGUUCCUUCAAAAAU